UUUAUCGGAGAGUUUGAUCCUGGCUCAGGACGAACGCUGGCGGCGUGCCUAAUACAUGCAAGUCGAGCGGACAGAUGGGAGCUUGCUCCCUGAUGUUAGCGGCGGACGGGUGAGUAACACGUGGGUAACCUGCCUGUAAGACUGGGAUAACUCCGGGAAACCGGGGCUAAUACCGGAUGCUUAUUUGAACCGCAUGGUUCAAAUAUAAAAGGUGGCUUCGGCUACCACUUACAGAUGGACCCGCGGCGCAUUAGC
RNAcentral lists this ribosomal RNA (255 nucleotides) under Bacillus subtilis. Its description in RNAcentral is "partial 16S ribosomal RNA". It matches the Rfam family "Bacterial small subunit ribosomal RNA", at positions 1 to 245 of the family's 1533-position model. The record is from RNAcentral. Lineage: Bacteria; Bacillati; Bacillota; Bacilli; Caryophanales; Bacillaceae.